This 818-nucleotide long non-coding RNA is filed under the name Mus musculus (house mouse). RNAcentral's name for it is "long non-coding RNA chr1:78375613-78376431". Lineage: Eukaryota; Metazoa; Chordata; Mammalia; Rodentia; Muridae. The record is from RNAcentral.
GGAAAGUCCAAACACAAGAAAGAGCUCACCACAUGGAGAACGCUAACGGAUCAUAUGACUGAGUAGAGGAGGGCACUGCUUCCUUCUGGAAGCUUCCAGGGUUCCUAUGCUCCUGGUGUGCUUCCCACGGAAUUCCUUUUGUCCCCUCGUGUCCAAGCAGCAGACCUAAGCCCAGUUCUGCCUCAGCUACCAGCAUCCCUGAGACCUUGCUUGUUUCUUCCCUCGGUGGGUACCUAGUUUGUUUCUUCCCUCAGUUCCUAGCUUCGCACAUUUGUGAAAUGAGAAGGUUAAAGAGGUGGUCUCUACUCCAGACCACGAUGCUAUUAACGUUAAUGUUUAUACAGGAAAAAGUUGCUGAAUCCCCAGAGGUGUCAUUCUUUCAUUGAGUUCAUCAAACAAAAGUGUCUGAGUGCUUAAGGAGAGCCAGGUACUGUUUGAGACAUUGAGUAAAAACAUCCGACCAAAAACAAAACAAAACAAAACAAAACAAAACAAAACAAAACAAAAAAGCAAAAUGAACAAACAAACAAAAAAAAAUCUAAGGCAGGGCAUCCAUUCUGGGUGAGGGAUAAGGAUAAUUGUUUUUUUUUUUUUUUAAUGUAAUCUCAGUACUUCAAGGUAGAGACAUGAAGGUCAGAAGCUCAAGGACAUUGCUGGCUUCAUAGAGAAUUUGAGACCAGUUUGAGGCACAUGAAACCCAGACACAGACAGACAAAGGAAGAUAUAGGGAGGGGUGACGUCAUAGCUCGAUAGGAGAGCCCCACCCCCACCCCACCCCACCUAGCUCCUGUGAAGCCCUGGCAUCAGUCUCAAAAGCU